Long non-coding RNA from Portunus trituberculatus (swimming crab), 420 nucleotides. RefSeq lists it as uncharacterized. Lineage: Eukaryota; Metazoa; Arthropoda; Malacostraca; Decapoda; Portunidae. The record is from RefSeq and is a predicted model, not a curated record. The transcript has 2 exons.
UGAGUGGCACUGCUGUUACCGUUAGCUGCACCAGGGACAGCGUUGGUGGAAGAGACAGCCAGCAAUGGGUGAUGAUGGCCACAGAAGGAUACCACACCACAACAAAAAUUGAAGAUUAAAAAACUAUGAAAAAAUUAGAGUCUGGCAGAGAGAGAGGAAGAGAAGAGAGAAGAAAGAAGAGGGCAGAAGAGAAGGGAGAGAAAAGAUGGGAGGGUAGAACGGAAAGCCAGCUGGGAAAAAGGUUGACAAAGAAGAUGGAAAGAACGACAAAAGAGCAGAAGGGAGAGCCAGGAGAGAGAAGGCUGACAGAGAAGAGAGAAAAAAAGAAGAGGGCAGGACAGAGCAAAGAGAAUGACAGAAGAAAGAAGAGGAGACAAGAAAGAAUGAAGGUGUUUAUACAUUAAAAGACAAUCUUUUCAA